Molecule: non-coding RNA, 96 nt
Filed under: Mycobacterium sp.
Lineage: Bacteria; Bacillati; Actinomycetota; Actinomycetes; Mycobacteriales; Mycobacteriaceae
Description: Glycine sequence
Rfam family: Glycine riboswitch aptamer
About the family: This family represents the bacterial glycine riboswitch. Glycine riboswitches usually consist of two metabolite-binding aptamers domains with similar structures in tandem.
Source: RNAcentral
CGCCGCCGUGCGGGAGAGUUCCGGGUUUCGUCCCGGACGCCGAAGGAGCAGCACCUCCCCGUCAAUCUCUCAGGCAUCAGGGACCGUACGGAGUUC